Molecule: ribosomal RNA, 370 nt
Filed under: uncultured archaeon
Lineage: Archaea
Description: partial 16S ribosomal RNA
Rfam family: Archaeal small subunit ribosomal RNA
Source: RNAcentral
CAGCCGCCGCGGUAACACCGGCAGCUCWAGUGGURGCCRUUUUUAUUGGGCCUAAAGCGUUCGUAGCCGGYUUGAUAAGUCUCUGGUGAAAUCCYAYAGCUUAACUGUGGGAMUUGCUGGAGAUACUAUYAGRCUUGAGGUCGGGAGAGGUUAGMGGUACUCCCAGGGUAGGGGUGAAAUCCURUAAUCCUGGGAGGACCACCUGUGGCGAAGGCGKCUAACUGGAACGAACCUGACGGUGAGKRACGAAAGCCAGGGGCGCGAACCGGAUUAGAUACCCGGGUAGUCCUGGCCGUAAACGAUGUGGACUUGGUGUUGGRAUGGCYUCGAGCUGCYCCAGUGCCGAAGGGAAGCUGUUAAGUCCACCGCC